Molecule: non-coding RNA, 31 nt
Filed under: Rattus norvegicus (Norway rat)
Lineage: Eukaryota; Metazoa; Chordata; Mammalia; Rodentia; Muridae
Source: RNAcentral
UNCAGGAUCUCUACUGUCUUAGGACCACUGC